Molecule: microRNA precursor, 80 nt
Filed under: Echinops telfairi (small Madagascar hedgehog)
Lineage: Eukaryota; Metazoa; Chordata; Mammalia; Afrosoricida; Tenrecidae
Description: miRNA (ENSETEG00000022464.1)
Rfam family: mir-17 microRNA precursor family
About the family: This family represents the microRNA (miRNA) precursor mir-17, family, which includes mir-20, mir-91, and mir-103. miRNAs are transcribed as ~70nt precursors (modelled here) and subsequently processed by the Dicer enzyme to give a ~22nt product. In this case the mature sequence comes from the 3' arm of the precursor. The extents of the hairpin precursors are not generally known and are estimated based on hairpin prediction.
Source: RNAcentral
CCUAGCGGUACCAAAGUGCUCAUAGUGCAGGUAGUUUUUAUAUUGCUCUACUGCGGUAUGGGCACUUUCAGUACUCUUGG